GGUUCAGGUUAUGGCUCAGAUUUGAACAUGGCGGGAUGCUUUACAUGCAAGUCGAACGGCAGCACGGACUUCGGUCUGGUGGCGAGUGGCGAACAGGUGAGUAAUGUAUCGGAACGUGCCUAGUAACGAGGAUAACUACGCGAAAGCGUAGCUAAUACAUCGCCCUUCGAGGAAAAGCGGGGAGAAUAUUCGGGCCUCGCACUAUUAGAGCGGCCGAUAUCGGAUUGGCUAGUUGGUGGGGUAACAGCUCACCAAGGCGACGAUCCGUGGCUGGUUUGAGAGGACGACCAGCCACACCCCAGGACUGAGACACGGCGGCCCAGACUCCUACGGGAGGCAGCGGUGGGAAUUUUGGACGGUAAACCCUGAUCCCAACCAUCCCGCGUGUGCGAUGAAGACUAUUCGGUUGUAAAGCACUUUGGCGGAAAACGGCCUGGGAUAAUACCCGUGCAGCGGCGGUACACCUGCAGAAUAAGCACCGGCUAACUACGUGCCCGGCAGCCGCGCGGUAAUACGUAGGGGUGCAAGCGUUAAUCGGAAUUACUGGGCGUAAAGCGUGCGCAGGCGGUUCGGAAGGGCGAUGUGAAAUCCCAGGCUUAACUUUGGAACUCGCAUUUUUAACUACCGAGCUAAGAGUGUGUCAGAGGAGGUGGAAUUCCCGCGUGUAGCAGUGAAGUAUGAAUAUGCGGAGGAACACCGAUAGCGAAAGGCCUCCGCAGGAUAACGCGGCAGCACUCAUGCACGAAAGCGUGGGGAGCAAACAGGAUUGAAUACCUGGUGAUCCGCCUAAACGAUGUCAACUAGCUGUCUGGGACUGCUUCAGGCCUUGGUAGCGCAGCUAACGCGUGAAGUUGACUACGCCUGGGGAAGUACAGUCGCAAGAUUAAAACUCAAAGAUUGACGGGGACAUGCCUGAAGCGUGGAUGAUAUGGAUUAAUUCGAUGCAACGCGCGAAAAACCCUUACCUACCCUUGACAUGUCUGGAAUCCCGAGAUUUGGGAGUGCUCGCAAGAGAACCGGAACACAGGUGCUGCAUGGCUGUCGUCAGCUCGUGUCGUGAGAUGUUGGGGUUAAGUCUGUGACGCAGCCCUUGUCAUUAGUUGCUACGAGAGGCACUCUAAUGAGACUGCCGGUGACAAACCGGAGGAAGGUGGGGACGUCAAGUCCUCACUGGCCCUUAUGGGUAGGGCUUCACACGUCAUACAAUGGUCGGGACAGAGGGUCGCCAACCCCGCGAGGGGCUGAAAUCCCGAACCCGAUCGUAGUCCGGAUGCGGUCUGCAACUCGACUGCGUGAAGUCGGAAUCCUUCAGUAAUCGCGGAUCAGCAUGUCGCGGUGAAUACGUUCCCGGUCUUAGCACGCACCG
This 1366-nucleotide ribosomal RNA is filed under the name uncultured Bordetella sp. Its description in RNAcentral is "partial 16S-23S ribosomal RNA intergenic spacer". It matches the Rfam family "Bacterial small subunit ribosomal RNA". Lineage: Bacteria; Pseudomonadati; Pseudomonadota; Betaproteobacteria; Burkholderiales; Alcaligenaceae. The record is from RNAcentral.